GGAAUCUUGCACAAUGGAGGAAACUCUGAUGCAGCGAUGCCGCGUGAGUGAAGAAGGCCUUUGGGUUGUAAAGCUCUUUUGUAGGGGAAGAUAAUGACUGUACCCUAAGAAUAAGGUCCGGCUAACUUCGUGCCAGCAGCCGCGGUAAUACGAAGGGACCUAGCGUAGUUCGGAAUUACUGGGCGUAAAGCGCGCGUAGGCCGUUGAGUUAGUUAAUUGUGAAAUCCCAAAGCUUAACUUUGGAACUGCAAUUAAAACUGCUCGACUAGAGUUUGAUAGAGGUAAGCGGAAUACAUAGUGUAGAGGUGAAAUUCGUAGAUAUUAUGUAGAACACCAGUUGCGAAGGCGGCUUUCUGGAUCAACACUGACGCUGAGGCGCGAAAGUAUGGGUAGCAAAGAGGAUUAGAUACCCUCGUAGUCCAUACCAUAAACGAUGAUUGCUAGAUGUUGGAAAUUUAUUUUCAGUAUCGCAGCUAACGCAUUAAGCAAUCCGCCUGGGGAGUACGACCGCAAGGUUAAAACUCAAAUGAAUUGACGG
This 538-nucleotide ribosomal RNA is filed under the name uncultured bacterium. RNAcentral's name for it is "bacterial SSU rRNA". It matches the Rfam family "Bacterial small subunit ribosomal RNA", at positions 358 to 916 of the family's 1533-position model. The record is from RNAcentral.